GUGGGGAAUAUUGGACAAUGGGCGAAAGCCUGAUCCAGCCAUGCCGCGUGUGUGAAGAAGGUCUUCGGAUUGUAAAGCACUUUAAGUUGGGAGGAAGGGUAGUAACCUAAUACGUUGCUACUUUGACGUUACCGACAGAAUAAGCACCGGCUAACUUCGUGCCAGCAGCCGCGGUAAUACGAAGGGUGCAAGCGUUAAUCGGAAUUACUGGGCGUAAAGCGCGCGUAGGUGGUUCAGUAAGUUGGAAGUGAAAUCCCCGGGCUCAACCUGGGAACUGCUUUAAAAACUGCUGAGCUAGAGUACGGUAGAGGGUGGUGGAAUUUCCUGUGUAGCGGUGAAAUGCGUAGAUAUAGGAAGGAACACCAGUGGCGAAGGCGACCACCUGGACUGAUACUGACACUGAGGUGCGAAAGCGUGGGGAGCAAACAGGAUUAGAUACCCGGGUAGUCC
Molecule: ribosomal RNA, 450 nt
Filed under: uncultured bacterium
Lineage: Bacteria
Description: partial 16S ribosomal RNA
Rfam family: Bacterial small subunit ribosomal RNA
Source: RNAcentral